AUUGAUUGAAGUAAAAUCUAAGGAAAGUAGGACCUGGAUGUAAAAUAAUACCAACUUUAAGGUAUGUAUGUUGACGGUAACAAAUCCUUGUUUCAAGGUAACAUUAAAGAUAAUGAACGGUUCUAGUUUAUUGCUUCUAUAAUAAUACAAUACCUAAUUACAGAUAUAGAAAUAUGAAGAUGUGGUAUGAUUGCAAUUUUGGAAAACUCUCCAAAAAACCAAAUGACAUAUAAAUUAACAGCUAUAGGUCACAAUUCUGCCUUCAAAAAUGAGUAAAACCCAUACCACAUACAUGUUACGUUAGCUAUAAAUUGGCCAAAAAAUGAAAAUUGUAAAAAAAAUUCAGUCGAGAAAACAAACUGCCUAAUUCAUGUCCAAAAUAAUGAACAAAACAAAUAUGUUACACAGCAACAAACAUUAACCACUGAAUAACAGGCACAUACAGAGUGUGGCAGGGUUAAACUAGUUUGAAGGCAUAUUGUCCUUAUCCAUCAAAUCUUUGGUUGAAUGAAAAUUUUUAAUCCAUGGUGCCUGAAAAAAUUGACAUGUUUAUUUUAAACAAAUCUGAAGAAGCAAAAUGUAAGUACAAUGGUGGCAUUUCAUACUUAAGAUGCCAUAAGAUUUGAUACAAUUCUGAACUGCUUUAUAUGAAGAAUUUCUUCAGCCUCUGUCUCCUGGUUACCCCAUAUAUGGAUAAAAUGUAAAUAUCUUCUGACAUCAACAUUAUAUAUAAUUUUUUGUGAAUUUUAGUUUACAUGUUUUGAAUGAAAUUUUAUUUUCUAUUUGUAGACAAAGCGUGCUUGUUAAUUUAAAAAUCAACUGAAGCAGAAGAAUGGAUUCUGUUGAUCUGAGGAACUUGGAAACACUUAUUGACAAAAAAAUAUGUAGUAAUACAAUUAUGUUUACUCUGAGAGAUAGAAAGAGGGGAGAGCCAGUUGUAAAGAUUUAUUCUUUUAAACCAGAUAUGUUGAUUACUUUCGAAUUUCAUAGGCCUACAGUUCCCCCUAAAUAGUCUUAAUUAAUACAUGUACUAGGUGUUUAAUGUAAGACUUUGAUGUGACUUGUGAGAACAACCAGCUGCCAUUGGUUAAAAUUUAUUUUUAUGCCCUUUUAGUUGGGGGGGGGGGGGGGGGGGCAUAUUGUUUUACUCCUGUUCUAACUUCCUACUGUCCUAUUAUGAGUAAAUAAAUAUAAGAAGAUGUGAAAUGUUGACAAUGAGACAACUCUUCAUCCAAAUUCACAGCUAUUCCAGAUAACUACUCCUAGAGUUUAAUGAGUUAUCUCCCAUAUUUGUAGGUACUUUUGAUAUUUUGAUAUUUCAUGAUAAGGCUAAUGCAAAUAGAAGAUUUAACUUGUUUUGAAAUUUAACAAACUGAGCAUAAGUUGUGAGAAAUGGAAACUAGCAGGCUGAGAUUUAGGGUUAAGGGAGGGAAUACACUGCUUACAAUGCUUAUCUCUUCAUAUGAGCUAGUUUGUUCACUGCAUGGAAGGCCUGCAAUAAAUAAGAAUGUAUUGGUUUACUUAUAAUUGUUAUAUAUUUUAUGUUAGAUAUGCUAUAUCAGAUGUAAAUAAAGUAAGAUGACAGUAUUAUUUAGAGCUCUGUAAAUAAAAUCAGCUUGUAAACAUAAGUCUAGAUAAUGCAUUAAGUGGUUUGGUCUGACAUGGUGAUUUCAAAUUAUAUUUACGUCAUCAUCAUCUCCAAAAGUGUUUCCAUUCUCAAUUUUAUCUGAUAUUAAACGCCCCUUCCUC
Molecule: long non-coding RNA, 1749 nt
Filed under: Mytilus galloprovincialis (Mediterranean mussel)
Lineage: Eukaryota; Metazoa; Mollusca; Bivalvia; Mytilida; Mytilidae
Source: RNAcentral